Molecule: ribosomal RNA, 803 nt
Filed under: uncultured bacterium
Lineage: Bacteria
Description: bacterial SSU rRNA
Rfam family: Bacterial small subunit ribosomal RNA
Source: RNAcentral
UCGAACGAGCUUCCGUUGAAUGACGUGCUUGCACUGAUUUUAACAAUGACCCGUUUAGCGAACUGGUGAGUAACACGUGGGAAAUCUGCCCAGCAUCAGGGGAUAACACUUGGAAACAGGUGCUAAUACCGUAUAACAACAAAAUCCGCAUGGAUUUUAUUUGAAAGGUGGCUUCGGCUAUCACUUCUGGAUGAUCCCGCGGCGUAUUAGUUAGUUGGUGAGGUAAAGGCCCACCAAGACGAUGAUACGUAGCCGACCUGAGAGGGUAAUCGGCCACAUUGGGACUGAGACACGGCCCAAACUCCUACGGGAGGCAGCAGUAGGGAAUCUUCCACAAUGGACGAAAGUCUGAUGGAGCAAUGCCGCGUGAGUGAAGAAGGGUUUCGGCUCGUAAAACUCUGUUGUUAAAGAAGAACACCUUUGAGAGUAACUGUUCAAGGGUUGACGGUAUUUAACCAGAAAGCCACGGCUAACUACGUGCCAGCAGCCGCGGUAAUACGUAGGUGGCAAGCGUUGUCCGGAUUUAUUGGGCGUAAAGCGAGCGUAGGCGGUUUUUUAAGUCUGAUGUGAAAGCCUUCGGCUUAACCGGAGAAGUGCGUCGGAAACUGGGAGGCUUGAGUGCAGAAGAGGACAGUGGAACUCCAUGUGUAGCGGUGGAAUGCGUAGAUAUAUGGAAGAACACCAGUGGCGAAGGCGGCUGUCUAGUCUGUAACUGACGCUGAGGCUCGAAAGCAUGGGUAGCGAACAGGAUUAGAUACCCUGGUAGUCCAUGCCGUAAACGAUGAGUGCUAAGUGUUGGAGGG